UGCCCAGCGGCCUUGGGAGCUGAGGAACCAGUGGGGGAGAGGGAGGAGCGGGUGCCACCUUGGCAGUGUCGUGAGUUUCAGCUGGAGUCCGCCAGCCCUCUGCUUCACUGUCAUAGGCAGUGGUCGCCAUGUGGGAAGGGGCAAAAAGAAGCCGAAGCUCAGAGAGGAACAAUGGAUCUGUGUGUGAUUGAUCUACCCAUGGCCACUCGCUCUGGUGGGACCCUCGUGCUUGUGGGGCUGGGCUCUGAGAUGACCACCGUACCCCUACUGCAUGCAGCCAUCCGGGAGGUGGAUAUCAAGGGCGUGUUUCGAUACUGCAACACGUGGCCAGUGGCGAUUUCGAUGCUUGCGUCCAAGUCUGUGAAUGUAAAACCCCUCGUCACCCAUAGGUUUCCUCUGGAGAAAGCUCUGGAGGCCUUUGAAACAUUUAAAAAGGGAUUGGGGUUGAAAAUCAUGCUCAAGUGUGACCCCAGUGACCAGAAUCCCUGAUGUUAAUGGGCUCUGCCCUCAUCCCCAGUCUCGGGAUCUCAGGGCACAAUGGCUGGACAUGGGUGGGCUCUGAUGCAGAACUUUCUCUUUUGAAUGUUAAGAAUA
Long non-coding RNA from Homo sapiens (human), 594 nucleotides. Ensembl annotates it as sorbitol dehydrogenase 2, pseudogene. Its record names the gene SORD2P. The record is from Ensembl. NCBI's taxonomy places the organism in Eukaryota, Metazoa, Chordata, Mammalia, Primates, Hominidae.